This 253-nucleotide ribosomal RNA is filed under the name uncultured bacterium. Its description in RNAcentral is "partial 16S ribosomal RNA". It matches the Rfam family "Bacterial small subunit ribosomal RNA", at positions 524 to 776 of the family's 1533-position model. The record is from RNAcentral.
GACGGGGGAUGCAAGCGUUAUCCGGAAUCACUGGACGUAAAGCGUCUGUAGGUGGUGAUGCAAGUCACUGGUGCAAAACUCUGGCUCAACCGGAGGAAAGCCAGUGAAACUGCAUGACUAGAGUGUGGGAGAGGUAGAAGGAAUUCCCUGAGUAGCGGUGAAAUGGGUAGAUACAGGGAAGAACACCGGAGGCGAAAGCGUUCUACUGGAACACAACUGACACUGAUAGACGAAAGCUAGGGGAGCGAAUGGG